Molecule: unclassified non-coding RNA, 743 nt
Filed under: Priapulus caudatus
Lineage: Eukaryota; Metazoa; Priapulida; Priapulimorpha; Priapulimorphida; Priapulidae
Description: lisH domain-containing protein FOPNL-like, transcript variant X3
Source: RNAcentral
CCAUCUACCGAACGCGGGAAUCACCUGUAUUUAUAAAUGAUAAAUCGUAAAAUCACUGUAACAACGUAAUCAAAAAGAUUACCAACUGACCCAUAAUAUGUCGUCUACAAAUGAUUUAAAAGCAGUAUUACAAGAGACACUUACAAAGCGAGGUGUACUAGGACAGCUUAAGGCACAAAUGCGGGCAGAGAUAUUCCGGUCUCUGGAAGAUACAAGUCGGCCACCCCCACGAUUGACAGAUGAAAACCUGCUUAUAAAUGAACUGAUAAGAGAGUAUUUGCUCUUCAACAACUACCGAUAUACAGAAUCGGUGCUUGUGUCAGAGUCUGGACUUCCAGAGAUGCCACUAGACAGGGAGUUGUUGACAAAAACGUUGAAUGUGACUCAGUCAGGUGCUUCUAGUCGUGUGCCUCUGUUGUAUGGCAUUUUGUCAUACUUUUCGUGUCCGCCCACUGCAGAUCGUAACACAUUGAAUGUAAAGGAAAACCUGCAGACCAGCACUGACCAAGACAGCAUCUAAAAGUCUCUGAUAUGAGCACAUUUAGAGUAGAGAAUACUCUGUUGAAGAAUAUUUUAGUACAAAGUUUGUAAAAUAUGUAAAUUGUUUAGCAUGUGGCUCUAGUAAUUUUUCGUGGUUUUAUAUGUGAAAAGCACAGCGGAUUUCUAGAUGUGCAGACACUUCUUUACCAUACACCGUUUACCGUGAAACUAACUGUCAAUAAAUGGCUUUUAUUCAAUGAUAA